Molecule: ribosomal RNA, 647 nt
Filed under: Austrotengella toddae
Lineage: Eukaryota; Metazoa; Arthropoda; Arachnida; Araneae; Zoropsidae
Description: eukaryotic LSU rRNA
Rfam family: Eukaryotic large subunit ribosomal RNA (bases 425-647)
Source: RNAcentral
CGCGUGUCGGAAGGGCUCCCGCGUACGGGGCCKUCCGACCGCGUGCCUCUCCGUCCCGCCAGACGCAUUUGUCUCCCGCCCAGAGGACGCCGCAGCCGGUCGGGCAGCGCAAGCGCGACGGCCUGAGGGGCGGACGACGGCAGGUGGCCGGUGGCUCGCCUUCGUGCGGGUCGCCGGUUGUUAGCCGGUCCGUCAGUGGCACGUCGCUCGACCGAGGUAUCACGAGGCCCUCCGGGGCUCUCGCGCCUUCUCCCCCUUAAAGGGAUGCGGGACAGAACGUCGCAAGCGAAGGCUGCCGGUCCGUCGCACUCCUCGACGAGUGGACGGCCGAACAUCCGGCGCCGUUGGUGACGUCGGGCCCGUGGGAGGCUGGAGGCUGGCGGCGAGUAGGUCGGUCACCCACCCGACCCGUCUUGAAACACGGACCAAGGAGUCUAACAUGUGCGCGAGUCAAUGGGUCUUGAACAGGCCCAGGGGCGCAAUGAAAGCAAAGGUCGGCUCCCGCCGACCGAGUUGGGAUCCCCUCCCCAGCGGGAGGCGGCGCACCAACGACCCGUCCUAUCCGGCUCGCCGGUUGGGCGGAGUGUGAGCGUACACGUUGGGACCCGAAAGAUGGUGAACUAUGCCCGGACAGGACGAAGCCAGAG